GUCUACGGCCAUGUCCCCCCUGAACGUGUCCGAGCCCGUCUGAUCUCAGAAGCUAAGCAGGGUCGAGCCUGGUUAGAACUUGGAUGGGAGACCGCCUAGGAAGACCAGGUGCUGUAGGCG
This 120-nucleotide ribosomal RNA is filed under the name Pteropus alecto (black flying fox). Lineage: Eukaryota; Metazoa; Chordata; Mammalia; Chiroptera; Pteropodidae. The record is from RNAcentral.